Molecule: ribosomal RNA, 119 nt
Filed under: Pteropus alecto (black flying fox)
Lineage: Eukaryota; Metazoa; Chordata; Mammalia; Chiroptera; Pteropodidae
Also listed under: 1 other name
Source: RNAcentral
GUCUAUGGUCAUGCCACCCUGAACAAGCCUGAUCCCAACUGAUCUCGGAAGCUAAGCAGGGUCGGGCCUGGCUAGUACUUGGAUGGGAGACCACCUAGGAAGACCAGGUGCUGUAGGUG